UACGUAGGGUGCAAGCAUUAAUCGGAUUUAUUGGGCGUAAAGGGCGCGCAGGCGGGGAUGUCAGUCAGAUGUGAAAUCCCGGGGCUCAACCUCGGAACUGCAUUUGAAACUACAUCUCUAGAGGAUAGACGGAGAAAGCGGAAUUCCACAAGUAGCGGUGAAAUGCGUAGAUAUGUGGAAGAACACCAGUGGCGAAGGCGGCUUUCCAGUUUAUACCUGACGCUGAGGCGCGAAAGCAAGGGGAGCAAACAGG
Molecule: ribosomal RNA, 253 nt
Filed under: uncultured bacterium
Lineage: Bacteria
Description: partial 16S ribosomal RNA
Rfam family: Bacterial small subunit ribosomal RNA
Source: RNAcentral